CUUACAGCUUAAGGCCAUCUGCAGACAAUGUUUGCAGGGGCUCUGUGGGGAUGGGCCCAUCAAGUGCUGGCUCACGUGUUUCCCUUGGAUGGAAAGGAUGCUGUACAUCCCUCGUUCCCUGAUGGAUGUAAAAAUGCCAUAAGGACAUGGCAGCAAACCCUCCAUCCUCAGGAAAUGCUCCCCACACACAGUGUUUGGUAAACACCUUUCCCACAGACUGGAGCCCAGAAUGUUUAAGCUGAACACAUUCCAAAUUGAUGCAGAGUAGGAGUGAAAAGAAAGGGAGAGGAAAAAAAAAGCACCAAAAACCCCUAAACUAGUUUAAAGCCUCGUUUGAAAUUCUCCUGUUCCAUCCCCGUCGCUCUGGAGGGAGAGCAGAAGUCCAGGAGAACCAUCUGUGCAGGGAAGGCUCUUUCCAGAGUCGUUGCUGGGGUGUGUGAUGAGUUGAUUGCAUUGGUUGGGAAGAGGGAGGUUGGGAUGGGCCUCCAGGGAGCCUUCAGCAGCCAGAAGGGUUUUGAACGGAAUAGUAAUAAAGGAACGAGGGUUGGUUUGUAAAUGGACGUGUUUGUUUCAUGGAAUCACGGGAUGGUUCGGGCCGGAAGGCACCUUAAACAUCAUCUCAUUCCAACCCCCUGCUGUGGGCAGGGGUGCCACCCACCCGUGCCAGGCUUUGUCACCCAUCCCAAGAGCAGUGUCACGUGUCAGGGGGUGCCAAGAGAGCUUGGUUUCGGGGGGGAGUUGAGGUUGAAUUAGAGCAGAGUUUUGUUCCCGGCGUUUCUCGCGGCAGACCCGUCUGUGCCAGCUUCAAACCAUAUCACCGUCCCACCGUGGAUUUUGGAAUCCCUGAGCGGCCACUGGCCAACAAAUUCUGCUGCAAACCAGCGUGAGGUCGUGUGGGAAGCUCUGGUGUGGCUGAGUGGCACUGGAGAUGGGCAGGAAGCCUUCAGCAGGGAGCUGGAGACACGGGAAGGCAAGGAGCAUGUGGAAUGUGUGCUAGGGAAGGAUCUCGAGCGGUGAGUGUGUCCUUCACCCCGCUGUUAACAAAGAGGAGCAGGGGCCAAAGGGCUCUUUGAAAUGGAAACAAAGGCUGAAGCUCCCGUCUCAGAAGGUUCUGUGUCUGCUCACCAGGUUUGGAAAACUGUUUCUGUGGUUACGGAACAAACAGGAUCAGACAAAGGCAGGACACGUAAGGGAGCCCGGGAGGGAGGUCGGGGUGAGCCUGGGGGGAGGCUGCUGACUGCAGAUGAGGACUUGCACAGGGGUUUGGAGACCUCCAGGUCCCUUCAGAUGGUCAGAUAGAGCAGUGCUGGGAGCAGGAGUUGUUUUCUGAUCCCAGGGGG
Corapipo altera (White-ruffed manakin) is the source of this 1340-nucleotide long non-coding RNA. RefSeq lists it as uncharacterized. The transcript is spliced from 2 exons. Lineage: Eukaryota; Metazoa; Chordata; Aves; Passeriformes; Pipridae. The record is from RefSeq and is a predicted model, not a curated record.